Meriones unguiculatus (Mongolian gerbil) is the source of this 1627-nucleotide long non-coding RNA. RefSeq lists it as uncharacterized. The record is from RefSeq and is a predicted model, not a curated record. The transcript has 2 exons. Lineage: Eukaryota; Metazoa; Chordata; Mammalia; Rodentia; Muridae.
UCCGGCCCCCGGUGGCCGCAGGUCACCCCGGCCGCGGGCUGCGCAGGGAGUGUAGGGUUGAGCAGGAGGGACCGCGCCCGGAAGAUGUCUGGAUUGCUGGGUGGUGAGCGGGCGUGUGGGACCCCCGGGAGGACUCGGGCUCGCUCCUCCACUUCCAACCCGUGGGGGGCGGACCCGUGUUGGGAAAGUUGAGCGUACUCCCAGGGUGGGGUCAGAGAGGACCGCUGCUGCCCUCGCGUGGCCAGGCAGCCCUCGAGGCUCCUGGCCCUCCCACGCCCUAGCUGUGACCGAGGGGACGGAUAUUGCCGAAGCUGCCUGCUCUCGCUUCAGGAAUCACUGCGGGCCAAAGAAGUGGGUGUAUGAGGAAGUCUACCAUUAUUUUAUUUGCUAGUGUUGGACACUUUAAACGGGCAGGUCUCUGGAAGAAGUUCGCCAGAUCCUUUUGCCUGUAAAGAAGGUGAGGCCCAGAGAAGCGUUUCCACAAACAGUGUGUGACAGCACGAAUUUACAGUGAGGUGGGCCUUGACGACACACAGGAAGCGGAGGCAGAUGAUCUCCAUGAGUUAGUUCCAGGCCAACCUGGGCCACAUACAUGAUAUCCUGUCUCAAAAACCAAGCAAGCAAGCAACCAGUCAGAUUUACACUCAGGCACGUGAGGUGCCCACGCAGAUGAUGGCUCCCUACUGCCUUCCGUGCGCCUCUUCCAACCUGCCUUGUGCACCAUCCAACCGACCUCUGCUCGGAACAGGUUUCAACAAAGAUUUGCUGAAUAAAUGCAUGUUAGAACUCAGACGGAGUCCACUGCAGGUGCUGCUGGGCUGGUGGCUCAUGCCUGUAAUCCCAGCACUCCCGAGGGAGCAGGUCAACAUUGGCUGUGUCAUGAAACUGUCUCAAACCCAGGCAAAUGCAUACACAGACGCUCACUCAGGAUAGGACGCACAAAGCAUACAUUUGGUAAAUCAGGUAACCGGGGUGGUGAAGUGCAGUUUGGCCCUCAGGCCUCUUCAUUCAUUCAGUAAGCGUCGGCUGAGUGUGAACUGAAAGCUCUAAACUAACCAAGAAUUUCUGCGUAGUCUAGCUGUGUGGUGGCAGCCCACAUCUUUAAUCCCAGCACUCAGGAGGCAGAGCAGGAGGAUCUCUGAGAGUCUGAGACCACCCUGGUCUACAGAGCCAGUCCUAGAACAGACGAGGCUACACAACGAAACCUUGUCUUGAAAAAAGGAUAGACAGACUUACAUUGUGAAGAACACAAACAAUCAAACAGAGCUAACAGUUAUUGAAGCUUUAUUACAUGAACUUUGCCCCCAACCCACACUAUGUUUAGUGUUUAUGUUUAGUUCUUAUGAGGCCAUACUUCAUUAUCUUCAUUUUACUGAGACAUGGAAGCUCAGAGAAGUUAUAGUGUCUUUGGGUCAAAACAGACCUAAGAGUCCCUGUUCUUGGGGCUACGGAUGGCUCAGUGGUUAAGAGUACUGGCUGCUUUUCCAGAGCACCUAGAGUCAAUUCCUAGCUCACAUAACAGUCCCUGUCUAUAACUCCAGUUCCAGGGAGUUCCAGUUUCCCAAAUAUAUAUGCAGGUAAAACACCAAUGCACAUGAUAGUAAAAAUAAAUAAUUCUUUUAAAAAA